RNAcentral lists this ribosomal RNA (254 nucleotides) under uncultured bacterium. RNAcentral describes it as "partial 16S ribosomal RNA". It matches the Rfam family "Bacterial small subunit ribosomal RNA", at positions 524 to 776 of the family's 1533-position model. The record is from RNAcentral.
UACGUAGGAGGCGAGCGUUGUCCGGAAUUACUGGGCGUAAAGAGCGCGUAGGCGGCGCGGUACGUCCGCUGUGAAAGCCCCCAGCUCAACUGGGGAGGGUCAGCGGUAACGGCCGAGCUAUGAGUGCAGGAGAGGGAAGUGGAACUCCGGGAGUAGCGGUGAAAUGCGUAGAGACCUGGAGGAACACCAGUGGCGAAGGCGGCAUCCUGGUCCGCAACUGACGCUGUGGAGCGAAAGCUAGGGGAGCAAACGGG